CAAAAACAUGGCCUUUUGAAUUUAAUUUAAGGUCUGACCUGCCCAGUGAUUUUCAACGGCCGCGGUAUACUGACCGUGCAAAGGUAGCAUAAUCAUUAGUCUUUUAAUAGAGGGCUGGAAUGAAAGGUUUAACGAGGAAUCGACUGUCUCACCUUAUAUGUAUUAAAACUUAAUUUUUCAGUCAAAAAGCUGAAAUUAUAUUGGAAGACGAGAAGACCCUAUAGAUCUUUAUAUAAUAUCAACAUAAUAUUAUUAUAUCAAUGAAUUUUGUUGGUUUUGUAUUUAGUUGGGGUGACAAAAAUAAUAAUUAACUUUUUUAUAACUUAAACAUUGAUUUAUGAAUAUUAGAUCCAUUAUUAUUGAUCAUUAGACUAAGUUACCUUAGGGAUAACAGCGUAAUCCUCUUCCAGAGUUCAUAUUUACAAGAGGGCUUGCGACCUCGAUGUUGGAUUAAGAUAAUAGUUAGGUGCAGCCGCUUAACUUAUAGGUCUGUUCGACCUUUAAAUUCUUACAUGAUCUGAG
RNAcentral lists this ribosomal RNA (522 nucleotides) under Erythemis simplicicollis. RNAcentral describes it as "partial 16S ribosomal RNA". It matches the Rfam family "Bacterial large subunit ribosomal RNA", at positions 1808 to 2609 of the family's 2925-position model. The record is from RNAcentral. Lineage: Eukaryota; Metazoa; Arthropoda; Insecta; Odonata; Libellulidae.